This 292-nucleotide ribosomal RNA is filed under the name uncultured bacterium. RNAcentral describes it as "partial 16S ribosomal RNA". It matches the Rfam family "Bacterial small subunit ribosomal RNA", at positions 505 to 796 of the family's 1533-position model. The record is from RNAcentral.
GUGUCAGCCGCCGCGGUAAUACGUAGGUGGCAAGCGUUGUCCGGAAUCAUUGGGCGUAAAGCGCGCGUAGGCGGCUUGUCAGGUCUGAUGUGAAAUCUUGAGGCUCAACCUUAAGCGUGCAUCGGAAACCGGCUUGCUAGAGUCUGGGAGAGGAGAGUGGAAUUCCUGGUGUAGCGGUGAAAUGCGUAGAUAUCAGGAGGAACACCGGUUGCGAAGGCGGCUCUCUGGAACAGUACUGACGCUGAGGCGCGAAAGCUAGGGGAGCGAACAGGAUUAGAAACCCGCGUAGUCC